AGAGAGAGUUCAAGAGUACGUGAAACCGUUCAGGGGUAAACCUGAGAAACCCAAAAGAUCGAAUGGGGAGAUUCAUCGUCAGCGGCCGUUGGCUUCCGUGCGGUUAGCGAUGUCCGGGACCUCGGUCCCGCGGCACGCAGCCGCUGCGGCAUGUCCGACGUCGUCGGCGUGCACUUCUCCCCUAGUAGGACGUCGCGACCCGUUGGGUGCCGGCCUACGGCCCGGUUGGUCGACUGCCGCGUCUCGUUCACGCGGGUACGCGGCAGACCACCGGUCGCCCGGCCGGCUGCCCGGCGGUAUAGAUCGCUAUUGAAACGGUAUUGGGCCGCAUUAAGUGCGUUCAGGCUCGUCGGCAGGCUCGUCUCUCUCGGAUUUACGGACCCAGCGCCGUUGCCGGGUGCUUGGCG
RNAcentral lists this ribosomal RNA (407 nucleotides) under Ormyrus diffinis. Its description in RNAcentral is "partial large subunit ribosomal RNA". The record is from RNAcentral. Lineage: Eukaryota; Metazoa; Arthropoda; Insecta; Hymenoptera; Ormyridae.